RNAcentral lists this non-coding RNA (203 nucleotides) under Carnobacterium alterfunditum. Lineage: Bacteria; Bacillati; Bacillota; Bacilli; Lactobacillales; Carnobacteriaceae. The record is from RNAcentral.
GAGAACUAAUUAAAUGAAAGCUGGAAUGAGAGCGUAACGUCUUGAAACGGUUUCCCUAAUCCUCCGAUAUGCUUUUGAAAGGUAAAUAGUCAACAGUAUAAAGCUCGGUGAAGUCAGCUGAAAGAAGCCGUAGAUAAGAUAGAUUCUUAUACGAAAAAAGUCCAGAGGUGGAUGUUGCUUCCUAUAGGCUGGGGGUCUUAUAA